AGUGAACGCUGGCGGUAGGCCUAACACAUGCAAGUCGAACGGCAGCACAGUAAGAGCUUGCUCUUACGGGUGGCGAGUGGCGGACGGGUGAGGAAUACAUCGGAAUCUACUUUUUCGUGGGGGAUAACGUAGGGAAACUUACGCUAAUACCGCAUACGACCUACGGGUGAAAGCAGGGGAUCUUCGGACCUUGCGCGAUUGAAUGAGCCGAUGUCGGAUUAGCUAGUUGGCGGGGUAAAGGCCCACCAAGGCGACGAUCCGCAGCUGGUCUGAGAGGAUGAUCGGCCACACUGGAACUGAGACACGGUCCAGACUCCUACGGGAGGCAGCAGUGGGGAAUAUUGGACAAUGGGCGCAAGCCUGAUCCAGCCAUACCGCGUGGGUGAAGAAGGCCUUCGGGUUGUAAAGCCCUUUUGUUGGGAAAGAAAAGCAGCAGGUUAAUACCCCGCUGUUCUGACGGUACCCAAAGAAUAAGCACCGGCUAACUUCGUG
RNAcentral lists this ribosomal RNA (492 nucleotides) under uncultured bacterium. RNAcentral's name for it is "partial 16S ribosomal RNA". It matches the Rfam family "Bacterial small subunit ribosomal RNA", at positions 29 to 507 of the family's 1533-position model. The record is from RNAcentral.